RNAcentral lists this small nucleolar RNA (134 nucleotides) under Dasypus novemcinctus (nine-banded armadillo). Its description in RNAcentral is "Small nucleolar RNA SNORA31 (ENSDNOG00000041075.1)". It matches the Rfam family "Small nucleolar RNA SNORA31". Rfam says of the family: ACA31 (SNORA31) belongs to the H/ACA class of snoRNAs which are thought to guide the sites of modification of uridines to pseudouridines. Lineage: Eukaryota; Metazoa; Chordata; Mammalia; Cingulata; Dasypodidae. The record is from RNAcentral.
AUGCAUCUCUGACAAACCUGGAGCAGUUAAUGUCUGCUGCUAAGGUGUCCACUACAGAUGUCAAGAAAGAGAAGGUUCUUGCGCUUUCUGUCUGCCUGGUUGUGGCAGCCAAGACUGAAUGGGUGAAUACAGGA